AGAACGAACGUUAGCGGCGCGCCUAACACAUGCAAGUCGAACGCGACUGGGGGCAACUCCAGUUGAGUGGCGCACGGGUGAGUAACACGUAGGUAAUCUCCCCCCGAGUGGUGGAUAACCCUCCGAAAGGAGAGCUAAUACAGCAUGAGACCACGGUUUCGAAAGGGACUGAGGUCGAAGCGGAGGAUCGCAAGACUUCGCGCUUGGGGAUGAGCCUGCGGCCCAUCAUGGUAGUUGGCGGGUAAUGGCCCACCAAGCCUUAGACGGGUAGCUGGUCUGAGAGGAUGAUCAGCCACACUGGAACUGAGACACGGUCCAGACUCUACGGGAGCAGCAGUGGGGGAUCUUGCGCAAUGGACGAAAGUCUGACGCAGCGACGCCGCGUGGGUGAUGAAGGCCGUUGGUUAGUAACGCCCGUGGUGGGAGGACGUAAGUAAGGUUUACGGUUAA
RNAcentral lists this ribosomal RNA (450 nucleotides) under uncultured soil bacterium. Its description in RNAcentral is "bacterial SSU rRNA". It matches the Rfam family "Bacterial small subunit ribosomal RNA", at positions 26 to 468 of the family's 1533-position model. The record is from RNAcentral.